UACGUAGGGUGCAAGCGUUAAUCGGAAUUACUGGGCGUAAAGGGCUCGUAGGCGGCCAACUAAGUCAGACGUGAAAUCCCUCGGCUUAACCGGGGAACUGCGUCUGAUACUGGAUGGCUUGAGUUUGGGAGAGGGAUGCGGAAUUCCAGGUGUAGCGGUGAAAUGCGUAGAUAUCUGGAGGAACACCGGUGGCAAGGCGGCAUCCUGGACCAACACUGACGCUGAGGGAGCGAAAGCCAGGGGAGCAAACGGG
RNAcentral lists this ribosomal RNA (253 nucleotides) under uncultured bacterium. RNAcentral's name for it is "partial 16S ribosomal RNA". It matches the Rfam family "Bacterial small subunit ribosomal RNA", at positions 524 to 776 of the family's 1533-position model. The record is from RNAcentral.